GCCCGGGUGGCGGAACGGUAGACGCUUCCGACUCAAAAUCGGCUGGCCGCAAGGCCGUGCGGGUUCGAAUCCCGCCCCGGGUA
This 83-nucleotide transfer RNA is filed under the name Bacteroidota bacterium. RNAcentral's name for it is "Bacteroidetes bacterium tRNA-Leu". It matches the Rfam family "tRNA". From Rfam's summary of the family: Transfer RNA (tRNA) molecules are approximately 80 nucleotides in length. Their secondary structure includes four short double-helical elements and three loops (D, anti-codon, and T loops). The record is from RNAcentral. Lineage: Bacteria; Pseudomonadati; Bacteroidota. RNAcentral also lists the same sequence under 1 other name.